UUAGGGACACUACUACAUAUAUGAGGUUAGGUAAGCCCGAAGAGAGCAAGAGCAGAUGACAUGGGACUAUUUUCCUUCUCCCGUUAUAUCGUUCUGGUAUUAUUACUCUCUGCAGCAAUCUCGGCCAUGCAGCCUUAUCAAAUCAGUGCAGAUCAUACCAAAGCCGGAAAACUAGCUAGUGAUCACAGACUCCCGCCAAGUCCUCCCCCUCCUCCACUUUCAAACGUGGGUCCUCAUAUUUACAAGCCACCCCCAGCGCCAUCGCCACCACCACCGCCACUGCUACCGCCACCGCCAUCGCCACCGCCACUUCGUAAUAAUCCUUAGUUUAAAGGGGGAGUAAUUUAAGGGUUUGCAAUAUAUAGUUAUAAGGUGUUUACUGUUUUUCCUUAAUAUAAUAAUAAUAGGAAAAGUGGGAAUUCAAUUUCUACUAUUUCUUUUUCCGGAGAUCAUUAAUGUAAUAUAUAUUAAGGUGUAUUUUUUUUC
Long non-coding RNA from Carya illinoinensis, 486 nucleotides. RefSeq lists it as uncharacterized. The record is from RefSeq and is a predicted model, not a curated record. NCBI's taxonomy places the organism in Eukaryota, Viridiplantae, Streptophyta, Magnoliopsida, Fagales, Juglandaceae. The transcript is spliced from 2 exons.